Molecule: long non-coding RNA, 1791 nt
Organism: Herpailurus yagouaroundi (jaguarundi)
Lineage: Eukaryota; Metazoa; Chordata; Mammalia; Carnivora; Felidae
Exons: 2
Source: RefSeq, a predicted model, not a curated record
UCCCUAGUAGGAUUUGUGAAGUACUCUUCCGUAGUCUUUAAAAGACUUCUUUAAUAGUGCAACUUGUUAGUCCACAACUCGUUCUUACAUAAAUAUACAUACAUACAUACAUACAUACAUACAUAAAUUCCUUGCUGUACCCAAAUCUGCAAAAUAAUUUGGGGAGGUCCCCUCUCAGGCUGGGAAAUAGUUUUCCACAAUGCGGUGCUCUUAUAAACUUCAAUUUCAGUCCAAGUCAAGUGAAUUGAAUAUUCCUGACCAAAAUUCUUGCUGGUUCCAGAAUCUUGUUUCCAUUGAUCAUCAUAGUAGCUUACUUCUCUCUCUUUGGACAGAGACUACAUGGUGCCUUGUUGCAAUGUUAUUUGUCUUCAUUUAUUUAAUUUUUCUGGUAUUAGCUGCGGUGAUGACAGCUAAGGCUCGUUGUCUGGAAGAGGUUCUGAUAUCAUAUGAAAAUGAAACUGCACAUUGUAAAGUCAUAUAGCAAAGCAGAGGUAUGUAUGUAUCGGAUUGCAAUGGGAAUCUUGGCAUCACAUAGAGCUGUUUAAAUCUAGAUGUACGUGCACAAUUAAUAAACAUCAGAUCAAAGUUAGAUCGCUAUGGCGUACUUAUCAGAAAAAAAAAAUCUCCGCUAACUCUUGAAAUUAAGGAAGAUAGUUGAAAACAAUAAUGCAAAAAUUACAAUCCAUUCAGCGAGCAUGCGUGAUAAUGUUAUCUUCGUGCGUGUAUUUUUUGCUUGUCAAGGUAACUGGUCUUUCUCUGAAGACAACUGGUAUUUUACUUCUGCUGAAAAUACCAUCUUGGCAGCAGGGAAAUUGUUCUGGAACAUUGAGCGCCAAUCUUAUCGAGACAAAUAGCAAGGGAGAGGCGGAAAUGUAUGGCAUGAUAUUCAUUCCCAUGUUUUCUUAAGCAGAAGAUAACUAUAAAUAGACUUUUUAAUAUCUUUUGUUCUUUCAAGCAUGCCAGACUCAACAUAUUAUAAGCGGAGAUCUCAAUCAAACUGAAAACAUUAAAAAAUGGACUGAAGAUGGUUCUGUGAUUUUAAAACUUUAAAUAUAUUUGCAUAUCAAACUAUGUACUGAUGUACAAAAAUUAUUUAGUAAAUAAAGGGGUGGAGGGGAUCACAUAAGACAUACAAACUAAAGGGAGUCUGCUCAGAAAUAGCUCAUAUUUAUUGAUUGCUCCUACUAUUCCUGGUAAUAGUUGAGUGAUUACAUGUAUUAAAGCAUAUACUGCCCCAAUAAUCCUAGGAGACAGUGCUAUCAUUGAUGUUGUCAUAUUAAUGAGGCCCAGAGAGGAUGAGAAAAAUUUCCAAGAUUAUGUCGCAAGUACGAAUUAGAAGCAAGAUGUAAGCCAUGAAAGUUUUACUCUGGAGAUCAUGAGCAUUAUCAUUAGGCGAUGCUAACCCCGGAACGGUAAAUCAUAUUGAAGCAAGUUGGAAGACUAUCACUUUUGUUGGCAACAGGCAGAGUCGCUCAAACAAGCAGAUUUACAUUUUUCUCCCCUGUAUGUUAUCUUUCAGAAAGGAACAAAUAAGAAAAAGAACUUUCAAGAAUAAAAUAUCAUAACAGCUGCUCAUGAGGAGUGACAUCUUCAGGCUAAUUAUUCUUUGGAAUUUUGAAGACAAAAGGGCUCGUAGAAGAGAUUCUCCCUCUAGUAGACUCUAGCGAACCUAAAGAAUACAGGUCUCCUUCAUUUUUUAUUCUCCUCUAAUAUGCUGUUGUUGCCUUUACAUCGUGUCUCCUUUUGCCCUGGCUUCAAGUUGUUACUGCCUUUAAUAAAGACUUCAAUCGA